UCUGUUCUUUACCAGCAUUUAACUUCUCAGAAUUUCCAUCGGUAAACUCUCUUCUUUUAUGAAAUUUUUCCAUAAUUUUGAUCAUCCCAGUUAUCAAUCUAAAAUUGUUCAUAAGAAAUUGUAGAGUUGGAAUAUAUAUAUAUAUAUACUGAAUACACAGAAAAGAAAUUAGAAAUUUAGAAUGGAAAAUAGAAGAAGAGGAAGUGGGUUGAGGCUUAGAGUAGACAGGGGAGUGGGCGUCUGAACGGCGCCGGUGUGGAGUGGAGGUAGGCAGCGCCCUCGCCGGAGAAACAGGCGCG
Molecule: long non-coding RNA, 299 nt
Filed under: Salvia miltiorrhiza (redroot sage)
Lineage: Eukaryota; Viridiplantae; Streptophyta; Magnoliopsida; Lamiales; Lamiaceae
Description: long non-coding RNA (SMIL_LNC008587)
Source: RNAcentral